This 301-nucleotide ribosomal RNA is filed under the name uncultured bacterium. Its description in RNAcentral is "partial 16S ribosomal RNA". It matches the Rfam family "Bacterial small subunit ribosomal RNA", at positions 509 to 807 of the family's 1533-position model. The record is from RNAcentral.
CAGUCGCCGCGGGAACACGGAGGGUGCAAGCGUUAAUCGGAAUUACUGGGCGUAAAGCGCACGCAGGCGGUUUGUUAAGUCAGAUGUGAAAUCCCCGAGCUUAACUUGGGAACUGCAUUUGAAACUGGCAAGCUAGAGUCUUGUAGAGGGGGGUAGAAUUCCAGGUGUAGCGGUGAAAUGCGUAGAGAUCUGGAGGAAUACCGGUGGCGAAGGCGGCCCCCUGGACAAAGACUGACGCUCAGGUGCGAAAGCGUGGGGAGCAACCAGGAUUAGAUACCCGCGUAGUCCCUGUCUCUUAUAC